GCCCGCUUAGCUCAACUGGUCGAGCACGUCACUUGUAAUGACGGGGAUCUCGGUUCGAAUCCGAGGGCGGGCGC
This 74-nucleotide transfer RNA is filed under the name Capillimicrobium parvum. Its description in RNAcentral is "tRNA-Thr". It matches the Rfam family "tRNA". Rfam says of the family: Transfer RNA (tRNA) molecules are approximately 80 nucleotides in length. The record is from RNAcentral. Lineage: Bacteria; Bacillati; Actinomycetota; Thermoleophilia; Solirubrobacterales; Capillimicrobiaceae.